AACGGCGCGGACAGAAGCGCCGCCUAGCAAGAAGCGUAAGAACAGCAGUAGUACACGAGUGGUGGCGCUGAGUGUUCACGGCGUGGAGGCGUGCGAGUCGACCCCUGACCCCGUGCGGAUGUUCCUGGAGGACAUAGCUGGCCUGAUGGAGGGAGAGGACGGCAUGUGUGUACUCAAGAGUCGCUUCGUGUCCAUCCGCGUUUUCCCAGGCACCUGUAGCUUCCGCUACCUGAUGUUCAACUGGGAACUCUGCGGAAACCCUGGGAGCGGGAGAAAUGCCAUGAAGUAUACGCAUGGUUAUGGAAACGUUUCUAUUUAAGUUCAAGGUCUUUUUAAAACAUAUACAGAUUUCUUCUUUUAAAACGAUAAUGUUAAAUCUCAGCCACUGGAUGGGAACAAUGUGUCGGUAUCAUUCAGGUGCAGUAUGAUGUCAUCAGGUGCAGUAUGAUGUCAUCAGGUGCAGUAUGAUGUCAUCAGGUGCAGUAUGAUGUCAUGACUAGUAUUAACAGGACUCAAAAGUAAGAAAAAAAUGAAAACCCGAGUGCGAACGCAUUCCAUAACCACCAUGUUUUUAGAGAUCUUAAUAAAGUUUAUUUUGAAGUUA
Molecule: long non-coding RNA, 604 nt
Organism: Branchiostoma floridae (Florida lancelet)
Lineage: Eukaryota; Metazoa; Chordata; Leptocardii; Amphioxiformes; Branchiostomatidae
Exons: 2
Source: RefSeq, a predicted model, not a curated record